CAGGGAGACAACAAAAUGUUUAAUAUUAUUAUUUUGUCACCUUAGGUCGAUCGGUAUCUCACGUUUUUAAUUUAUUAAGAAUUUCAUUUCCUAAGUUUUUCUAGGUCACACCCAUUAUUUUUCCUGGGCCAUUAGCUCAGGUGGUUAGAGCGCACCCCUGAUAAGGGUGAGGUCCCUGGUUCAAGUCCAGGAUGGCCCAUAUCUCUAUGUUGGGGGUAUAGCUCAGUUGGUAGAGCGCCUGCUUUGCAAGCAGGAUGUCAGCGGUUCGAGUCCGCUUACCUCCACUGAUUACCACCUCUUCCAUAAUCUGUAGAAAGGAAAUGUUUUGAGUUGUGAUCAAAUUCUGAACGAAUCUAGCUUCCUAAUGAAAUCAUUAAGAUGCUGGACUCAGUGAAUCAAUUUCAUUGUUUUCAGAGAACCUUGACAACUGCAUAGAUUAUUUUUGAAAAGACAAUAAGCAUCUUUAAUGAUGCAGAUUUAUUAUUUGUGCGAAUGCAUUAAUAACAAUUCUAUUAAGCUGAUGCUUCAUUUUUGAAGUUAUU
This 542-nucleotide transfer RNA is filed under the name uncultured cyanobacterium. RNAcentral's name for it is "partial 16S-23S ribosomal RNA intergenic spacer". The stretch from base 212 to 284 matches the Rfam family "tRNA". The record is from RNAcentral. Lineage: Bacteria; Bacillati; Cyanobacteriota.